UCCACGCAUCGACCUGGUAUUGCAGUACU
Molecule: non-coding RNA, 29 nt
Filed under: Callithrix jacchus (white-tufted-ear marmoset)
Lineage: Eukaryota; Metazoa; Chordata; Mammalia; Primates; Cebidae
Also listed under: 1 other name
Source: RNAcentral